UGACUUUACGAAAAUACCACGGAGUGAU
RNAcentral lists this small RNA (28 nucleotides) under Bombyx mori (domestic silkworm). RNAcentral's name for it is "piRNA piR-bmo-1962085". The record is from RNAcentral. Lineage: Eukaryota; Metazoa; Arthropoda; Insecta; Lepidoptera; Bombycidae.